CAGCCGCCACGGUAACACGAACCGUGCGAACGUUAUUCGGAAUCACUGGGCUUAAAGCGCGUGUAGGCGGGCCGCCACGUCGGCUGCUGAAAUCCCCCGGCUCAACCGGGGAAGUGGCACCGAUACGAGCGGCCUCGAGGGGGGUAGGGGGCACUGGAACUCCCGGUGGAGCGGUGAAAUGCGUUGAGAUCGGAAGGAACGCCCGUGGCGAAAGCGAGUGCCUGGACCCUUUCUGACGCUGAGACGCGAAAGCCAGGGGAGCGAACGGGAUUAGAUACCCCCGUAGUCCCUGUCUCUUAUU
RNAcentral lists this ribosomal RNA (301 nucleotides) under uncultured bacterium. RNAcentral describes it as "partial 16S ribosomal RNA". It matches the Rfam family "Bacterial small subunit ribosomal RNA", at positions 509 to 807 of the family's 1533-position model. The record is from RNAcentral.